GUGAGUGGCGCGACGGUGUGAGUAACGCGUGAGGAUCUGCCUUCAGGAGGGGGACAACAUCGGGAAACUGAUGCUAAUACCCCAUAUGCCGAGAGGUGAAAAGUUUUUCGCCUGAAGAUGAGCUCGCGUCUGAUUAGCUAGUUGGUGGAGUAACGGUUCACCAAGGCGACGAUCAGUAGCUGGUCUAAGAGGAUGAUCAGCCACACUGUGACUGAGACACGGCCCAGACUCCUACGGGAGUGCAGAAGUGGGGAAUUUUCCGCAAUGGGGGCAAUCCUGACGGAGCAACGCCGCGUGUGGGAGGACGGCCUUCGGGUUGUAAACCACUUUUCUCAGGGAAGAAGGACUGACGGUACCUGAGGAAUAAGCCUCGGCUAACUCCGUGCCAGCAGACGCGGUAAGACGGAGGAGGCAAGCGUUAUCCGGACUUAUUGGGCGUAAAGCGUCCGCAGGCGGUUAAUUUAACGUCUGCUGUUAAAGCCCACAGCUACAACUGUGGAUCGGCAGUG
This 509-nucleotide ribosomal RNA is filed under the name uncultured organism. Its description in RNAcentral is "bacterial SSU rRNA". It matches the Rfam family "Bacterial small subunit ribosomal RNA", at positions 89 to 628 of the family's 1533-position model. The record is from RNAcentral.